ACGGGUGAGUAACACGUGGGUAAUCUACCCCGAUGACCGGGACAACCCGAGGAAACUCGGGCUAAUACCGGAUGUGGUACGGGAACAUAAGUUCCUUUACUAAAGGUAGCUUCGGCUUCCGCAUUGGGAGGGGCCCGCGGCCCAUUAGCUAGUUGGUGGGGUCAAGGCCUACCAAGGCAACGAUGGGUAGCUGGUCUGAGAGGACGAUCAGCCACACUGGGACUGAGACACGGCCCAGACUCCUACGGGAGGCAGCAGUGGGGAAUCUUGCGCAAUGCGCGAAAGCGUGACGCAGCAACACCGCGUGAGGGAAGACGGCCUUAGGGUUGUAAACCUCUUUCAGAUGGGACGAAGGUUGUCCGGUGAAUAGCCGAGAUGAUUGACGGUACCGUCAGAAGAAGCUCCGGCUAACUACGUGCCAGCAGCCGCGGUAAUACGUAGGGAGCGAGCGUUGUCCGGAAUCAUUGGGCGUAAAGAGCGCGUAGGUGGAUCAAUUAGUCUGCUGUGAAAGUCAAAGGCUCAACCUUUGAAAGCCGGUGGAUACUGUUGAUCUAGAGUACGGAAGAGGCGAGUGGAAUUCCUGGUGUAGCGGUGGAAUGCGCAGAUAUCAGGAGGAACACCAAUAGCGAAGGCAGCUCGCUGGGACGUUA
RNAcentral lists this ribosomal RNA (650 nucleotides) under uncultured bacterium. RNAcentral's name for it is "bacterial SSU rRNA". It matches the Rfam family "Bacterial small subunit ribosomal RNA", at positions 102 to 739 of the family's 1533-position model. The record is from RNAcentral.